UGGGGAAUCUUGCACAAUGGAGGAAACUCUGAUGCAGCGACGCCGCGUGAGUGAUGAAGCCCUUCGGGGUGUAAAGCUCUUUCGGCAGGGACGAUAAUGACGGUACCUGAAGAAGAAGCUGCGGCUAACUACGUGCCAGCAGCCGCGGUAAUACGUAGGCAGCGAGCGUUGUUCGGAGUUACUGGGCGUAAAGCGUGCGUAGGCGGUGUCUUAAGUUUGUUGUGAAAUCUCCCGGCUUAACCGGGAGGGUGCGGCGAAUACUGAGAUGCUGGAGUGCGGGAGAGGUAAGCGGAAUUCCUGGUGUAGCGGUGAAAUGCGUAGAUAUCAGGAGGAACACCUGCGGUGUAGACGGCUUACUGGACCGUAACUGACGCUGAGGCACGAAAGCGUGGGUAGCAAACAG
This 403-nucleotide ribosomal RNA is filed under the name uncultured bacterium. RNAcentral's name for it is "bacterial SSU rRNA". It matches the Rfam family "Bacterial small subunit ribosomal RNA", at positions 355 to 775 of the family's 1533-position model. The record is from RNAcentral.